AAGUCGUAACAAGGUCUCCGUAGGUGAACCUGCGGAGGGAUCAUUACAGAGUUCAUGCCCUAACCGGGUAGAUUCUCCCGCCCUAUGUUAUCAUGCCAUGUUGCUUUGGCGGGCCGUCGGGCUCAUCGCUCGGCUACCGGCUUCCGGCUGGUAAGCGCCCGCCAUGAGGACCUCAAACCCCUGAAUAUUCGUGUCGUCUGAGUACCUAUAUAAUAGUUAAAA
Molecule: unclassified non-coding RNA, 222 nt
Filed under: plant metagenome
Description: partial contains small subunit ribosomal RNA and internal transcribed spacer 1
Rfam family: Eukaryotic small subunit ribosomal RNA (bases 1-46)
Source: RNAcentral